CGUAGGCGCAAGCGUUGUCCAGAUUUAUUGGGCGUAAAGAGCUCGUAAGCGGUUUGUCGCGUCAAAUGUGAAAACCCCGGAACUCAACUCCGGGCCUGCAUUCGAUACGGGCAGACUUGAGUACUGCAGGGGAGACUGGAAUUCCUGGUGUAGCGGUGGAAUGCGCAGAUAUCCAGGAGGAACACCGGUGGCGAAGGCGGGUCUCUGGGCAGAAACUGACGCUGAGGAGCGAAAGACGUGGGGAGCGACAGGAUU
This 255-nucleotide ribosomal RNA is filed under the name uncultured bacterium. RNAcentral describes it as "partial 16S ribosomal RNA". It matches the Rfam family "Bacterial small subunit ribosomal RNA", at positions 526 to 779 of the family's 1533-position model. The record is from RNAcentral.